This 67-nucleotide transfer RNA is filed under the name Coenomyia ferruginea. RNAcentral describes it as "tRNA-Phe". It matches the Rfam family "tRNA". From Rfam's summary of the family: Transfer RNA (tRNA) molecules are approximately 80 nucleotides in length. Their secondary structure includes four short double-helical elements and three loops (D, anti-codon, and T loops). The record is from RNAcentral. Lineage: Eukaryota; Metazoa; Arthropoda; Insecta; Diptera; Xylophagidae.
GUUUAAAUAGCUUAUAUUUUAGAGCAUGACAUUGAAGAUGUUAUGGAGAUUGGUUAAUCUUUAAAUA